GCCUACCAUGCAGUCGAGCGGUAACAUAUAGGUGCUUGCACCUUUGCUGACGAGCGGCGGACGGGUGAGUAAUGCUUGGGAACAUGCCUUGAGGUGGGGGACAACAGUUGGAAACGACUGCUAAUACCGCAUAAUGUCUACGGACCAAAGGGGGCUUCGGCUCUCGCCUUUAUAUUGGCCCAAGUGGGAUUAGCUAGUUGGUGAGGUAAUGGCUCACCAAGGCGACGAUCCCUAUCUGGUUUGAGAGGAUGAUCACCCACACUGGGACUGAGACACGGCCCACACUCCUACGGGAGGCAGCAGUGGGGAAUAUUGCACAAUGGGCGCAAGCCUGAUGCACCCAUGCCGCGUGUGUGAAGAAGGCCUUCGGGUUGUAAAGCACUUUCAGUCAGGAGGAAAGGUUACUCGUUAAUACCGGCUAGCUGUGACGUUACUGACAGAAGAAGCACCGGCUAACUCCGUGCCAGCAGCCGCGGUAAUACGGAGGGUGCGAGCGUUAAUCGGAAUUACUGGGCGUAAAGCGUACGCAGGCGGUUUGUUAAGCGAGAUGUGAAAGCCCCGGGCUCAACCUGGGAACUGCAUUUCAAACUGGCAAACUAGAGUGUGAUAGAGGGUGGUAGAAUUUCAUGUGUAGCGGUGAAAUGCGUAGAGAUCUGAAGGAAUACCGAUGGCGAACGCAGCCACCUGGGUCAACACUGACGCUCAUGUACGAAAGCGUGGGGAGCAAACAAGAUUAUAUACUCUGGUACUCCACGCCAUAAACGAUGUCUACUAGAAGCUCGGAACCUCGGAUCUGUUUUUCAAAGCUAACGCAUUAAAUACACCGCCUGGAGAGUACGGCCGCAAGGUUAAAACUCAAAUGAAUUGACGGGGGCCCGCACAAGCGGUGGAGCAUGUGGUUUUAUUUCUAUGCAACGCGAAAACCUUACCUACACUUGACAUACAGAGACUUACCAGAGAUGGUUUUGGUGUCUUCGGGAACUCAGAUACAGGUGCUG
Molecule: ribosomal RNA, 998 nt
Filed under: Pseudoalteromonas sp.
Lineage: Bacteria; Pseudomonadati; Pseudomonadota; Gammaproteobacteria; Alteromonadales; Pseudoalteromonadaceae
Description: bacterial SSU rRNA
Rfam family: Bacterial small subunit ribosomal RNA
Source: RNAcentral